This 177-nucleotide unclassified non-coding RNA is filed under the name soil metagenome. RNAcentral's name for it is "partial internal transcribed spacer 1". The record is from RNAcentral.
CACAAUAAACAUAUGAAGGCCGCACCGCCAACAGGCGGCAAGGCUGGAGUAUUUUAUUACCCUUGUCUUUUGCGCACUUGUUGUUUCCUGGGCGGGUUCGCCCGCCUCCAGGACCACAUGAUAAACCUUUUUUAUGCAGUUGCAAUCAGCGUCAGUACAACAAAUGUAAAUCAUUUA